Molecule: long non-coding RNA, 851 nt
Organism: Populus nigra (black poplar)
Lineage: Eukaryota; Viridiplantae; Streptophyta; Magnoliopsida; Malpighiales; Salicaceae
Exons: 2
Source: RefSeq, a predicted model, not a curated record
UUUUGCUGACCUGGUUGGAUGAAAGGUUGAUAAUUAAUCCCAAAAGUUAUGGAACCCUUGUGAGAAGAGGCCUUUCCUUCUUCUACCUUUAAUUUCCCUUCUCCUUUAUUCGGCGCUUCGUGUCCCCAAAACUGACUUUGAAUUUGAUAAGAUUUGGACUAGUCCUCCCUUUCCGACACAUGGUUUUCAUGUGUCUUGUCCAUGGUUUUCAAUUGCCCUCUACUGAAAAUUAAGAUCAGUGUCCCUAGCCAUCACGAGCCAAGAAGAGAGGGGGAGAGAGAGAGAGAGAGAUGGUGAGAGUUUGGAAAGAGACGAUAAGAGGAGAUGGAAAAAUCUAUGGUGAAGACUUGAGCAGUGCAGCUUUACUCUUCUGGGCUGCAAUCGUCACUCUUUCUAUAAUUGCAUCUGUCAUUUUAUCUUGUGCCGGUGGUGCGUCGAAAGACAAAGCCUCUACAACUGAUACUUAUGGUACAACAUGUGCUGGGUGCGGUGCGGGCUGUGGUGGAUAAGCUCGAGUUCGCUGCUGUCUCCAUGGCUUGUCGGCACAGCAUAAGAGGCACAAGAACAUAUUCACUUCUGCAAAUUAUCAACGGUGCAGUAUACCUUCCAUUUACCAAGUUCCGUUUCUAACAAGUUUCAAUCAAAAUUUGCAUUUUAGUUAAGAAGAUAAGGUAGUUAAUGCAACAAUUCCAGAUUUUCGUUUUUUUUUUUUAUGAGCUGUCUUCAUUUUUAUUUAUAUUACAAGCACCUUAGAUCAUGGCCGAUUCAUGAUUAAAAAAUAAACAAAGAUAUGUAAUUGCAUUAGCCAUUGUUAUGACGAAAUGAAUAAUAGCCAGAGAUUUCUUACCCAA